UGAUUGGACCGGCGUAAAGAGUGGUUAAUAGACAAAUAAACUAAAGCCGAACUCCCUCAGGGCAGUUAUACGCUUAUGAGGUAAUGGAAGCCCCCCGACGAAAGUGGCUUUAACCCUAUGACCCCACGAAAGCUAGGGCA
RNAcentral lists this ribosomal RNA (140 nucleotides) under Eviota sp. E NH-2020. RNAcentral describes it as "partial 12S ribosomal RNA". Lineage: Eukaryota; Metazoa; Chordata; Actinopteri; Gobiiformes; Gobiidae. The record is from RNAcentral.